GAUGAACGCUAGCUAUAGGCUUAACACAUGCAAGUCGAGGGGAAACGGCAUUAUGUGCUUGCACAUUUUGGACGUCGACCGGCGCACGGGUGAGUAUCGCGUAUCCAACCUGCCCUUUACUUGGGGAUACCCCGUUGAAAGACGGCCUAAUACCCGAUGUAAUUCAUUGAUGGCAUCAGAUAUGAAUAAAAGAUUUAUCGGUAAAGGAUGGGGAUGCGUCUGAUUAGCUUGUUGGUGAGGUAACGGCUCACCAAGGCGACGAUCAGUAGGGGUUCUGAGAGGAAGGUCCCCCACAUUGGAACUGAGACACGGUCCAAACCCCUACGGGAGGCAGCAGUGAGGAAUAUUGGUCAAUGGGCGCAAGCCUGAACCAGCCAAGUAGCGUGCAGGAAGACGGCCCUAUGGGUUGUAAACUGCUUUUAUACGAGAAUAAUUUGAUGCACGUGUGCGUUAUUGCAUGUAUCGUAUGAAUAAGGACCGGCUAAUUCCGUG
This 492-nucleotide ribosomal RNA is filed under the name uncultured bacterium. RNAcentral describes it as "partial 16S ribosomal RNA". It matches the Rfam family "Bacterial small subunit ribosomal RNA", at positions 28 to 507 of the family's 1533-position model. The record is from RNAcentral.